UAUUAUUAUAGUAUUUUUGAAAUAAAAUAUAGCCUACGUAAAUCAGGAAUAAUAUAGCUUACGAUUGGUGAAAGAAUUUUCAAAAUCGGUUCAGUAUAGUUUCACAGAUUACUUCCUACAAACAGACUUACAUU
Long non-coding RNA from Maniola jurtina (meadow brown), 134 nucleotides. RefSeq lists it as uncharacterized. The transcript has 3 exons. The record is from RefSeq and is a predicted model, not a curated record. Lineage: Eukaryota; Metazoa; Arthropoda; Insecta; Lepidoptera; Nymphalidae.